Molecule: ribosomal RNA, 324 nt
Filed under: Triticum aestivum (bread wheat)
Lineage: Eukaryota; Viridiplantae; Streptophyta; Magnoliopsida; Poales; Poaceae
Description: partial small subunit ribosomal RNA
Source: RNAcentral
AUUGCCAUCUUGAAUUGGAAUGCACGGGGGUUAAACGACCCACACAAGAGGAGGGUCGUUGCUAGCUUUCUGUCUGACAAGGGUUGCAACAUAAUUUGCUUACAAGAAACCAAGCUUGAUGUCAUCACUACGCAGAUUGUGGUUGAGAUCUUGGGUCCUAAGUUUGGGGGCCACUUCAUUUACAAAGCCGCUGAUGGCACUAGAGGAGGGAUCUUGAUCUUGAUUGCUAUGCUGGCUGAAGCGGUCAUGCAGCCGCAGCCCCAACAAUAUUGGCAGCGUAUCUACCAGCCCGGCCCCAGCAGCAAGCUUCGCUUGAGAUCAUGA